Haliotis rubra (blacklip abalone) is the source of this 702-nucleotide long non-coding RNA. RefSeq lists it as uncharacterized. The record is from RefSeq and is a predicted model, not a curated record. The transcript is spliced from 2 exons. Lineage: Eukaryota; Metazoa; Mollusca; Gastropoda; Lepetellida; Haliotidae.
AGAGGGGCACACAAGGAACGUGGUGGUCUAGGUUACCAGGUAUUAAACAUGCGGUGGCAGAGUGGAGAAGCACACAGUCGUAUACACGGGCUUGUCGUGUUAUGAGGACAUAAACAAUCAAUACACCUCACUUCGGAGUCUAAGCCAGCGCGUCCAUUCCGCUACCCACACCGACAAUGUCAAUGUACAUGAUUGGGCAACAUCCACCGACCAAUAACUUCGACUGAAAAAGGGCUGCAGUAUAACAUCUGAUUUCAUCCGUGUCAUAACAAUGAUGAAUUUUAGAUGUGAGAAUAUCAUGAUCAAGAUAAGUCAACAAAGUUUUCGAAGAAGUUUUUAACGAGCCAUCUGAACAAUAAAACAUGUUAUUCGAUUACUGUCUGAGCAGAAUAAUUGUAAAUAUAUAUACCUAACUGUAACGUCAUACGUAUGAUGACGACAUAGCUAUUACCGUUAUGUGUCGCCUAUGACUACACUCAGCUUUCAUUGUACACCUGAAGAGCCGUUGAACGGCGAAAGAUCUUGCGCUGAUAUAAUGGAGUUUUGGCAAAAAGAAAUAUUAUAUAUGUUAUUUUUAUUCUUCAGUGAUUUCUUAAGAGCCGUUGAACUUGAAGUGAUUGAAGUGACUUUUGUAGCAAUGGUCUGUCCAAUGAUAGAAAUGUAAAAACAUAAAUUGAUUUUAAUUAAAGGGUUUCCUUGCUA